UAAAGUCAAUAAGCAUAUCCUCAGGUAGGGAAUAAAAAAAAAAUCUAGCUUCACCUGAACCAAGUUAACUUCUCUAUGCACUACCACUUGGCUAUAUCAUCUCUUGAUUGUGCUAGUGUUAGCUCCUCUUUAGUGGUAGAUUGCCACCCCUCCCACCAAUUCUCCACAGGACAACCAUAAUGAGAUCACUGCUGAAACUUCACUUCCUUAACCCCCGCAGACCAGUUCAGUUACUGUGCUUAUAACUCUCUCUUUUCUUUAAACCCUUAUUACAAGUGCAAUGGGCCAAAGUGCUAUGUAAAGCAAUAUAUGAAAAAAACAAACAAAACAAACCCCCACUGCA
This is a long non-coding RNA of Myotis brandtii (Brandt's bat), 343 nucleotides long. RefSeq lists it as uncharacterized. The record is from RefSeq and is a predicted model, not a curated record. The transcript is spliced from 2 exons. Lineage: Eukaryota; Metazoa; Chordata; Mammalia; Chiroptera; Vespertilionidae.